RNAcentral lists this unclassified non-coding RNA (345 nucleotides) under Hevea brasiliensis (rubber tree). Lineage: Eukaryota; Viridiplantae; Streptophyta; Magnoliopsida; Malpighiales; Euphorbiaceae. The record is from RNAcentral.
GUCAGGGAUGAAAGCGACAAUGCUGGCAGCACAGAGUAUCCAGUUAGGCCUUAACGAUGUUGUUGUUUCUGGUGGGAUGGAAAGCAUGUCCAAUGCACCAAAGUACCUGGCAGAAGCAAGGAAGGGGUCUCGUCUAGGACAUGAUUCUCUUGUUGAUGGAAUGCUGAAAGAUGGUUUAUGGGAUGUCUAUACGAACUCUGGCAUGGGAACUUGUGCAGAGUUAUGUGCAGACAAAUAUCAAAUUUCAAGGGAGGCCCAGGAUGACUUCGCUGUUCAGAGCUUUGAGCGAGGUAUUGCUGCCAAGGACAGCAAUGCCUUUGAAUGGGAAAUUGUUCCGGUUGAAGU